RNAcentral lists this ribosomal RNA (559 nucleotides) under uncultured bacterium. Its description in RNAcentral is "bacterial SSU rRNA". It matches the Rfam family "Bacterial small subunit ribosomal RNA", at positions 120 to 674 of the family's 1533-position model. The record is from RNAcentral.
GGGAAACUGCCCGAUGGAGGGGGAUAACUACUGGAAACGGUAGCUAAUACCGCAUAACGUCGCAAGACCAAAGUGGGGGACCUUCGGGCCUCACACCAUCGGAUGUGCCCAGAUGGGAUUAGCUAGUAGGUGGGGUAAUGGCUCACCUAGGCGACGAUCCCUAGCUGGUCUGAGAGGAUGACCAGCCACACUGGAACUGAGACACGGUCCAGACUCCUACGGGAGGCAGCAGUGGGGAAUAUUGCACAAUGGGCGCAAGCCUGAUGCAGCCAUGCCGCGUGUAUGAAGAAGGCCUUCGGGUUGUAAAGUACUUUCAGCGGGGAGGAAGGCGGUGGAGUUAAUAGCUUCACCGAUUGACGUUACCCGCAGAAGAAGCACCGGCUAACUCCGUGCCAGCAGCCGCGGUAAUACGGAGGGUGCAAGCGUUAAUCGGAAUUACUGGGCGUAAAGCGCACGCAGGCGGUCUGUCAAGUCGGAUGCGAAAUCCCCGGGCUUAACCUGGGAACUGCAUUCGAAACUGGCAGGCUAGAGUCUUGUAGAGGGGGGUAGAAUUCCAGGU